RNAcentral lists this ribosomal RNA (468 nucleotides) under uncultured bacterium. RNAcentral's name for it is "partial 16S ribosomal RNA". It matches the Rfam family "Bacterial small subunit ribosomal RNA", at positions 28 to 507 of the family's 1533-position model. The record is from RNAcentral.
GACGAACGCUGGCGGCGUGCUUAACACAUGCAAGUCGAACGGAAAGGCUCCAGCUUGCUGGAGUACUCGAGUGGCGAACGGGUGAGUAACACGUGGGUGAUCUGCCCUGCACUUCGGGAUAAGCCUUGGAAACUGGGUCUAAUACCGGAUAGGACCGCCCUCUGGUUUGUGUGGUGUAAAGGUUUUUCUGGUGUGGGGUGAGCUCGCGGCCUAUUCGUUUGUUGGGGGGGUAAUGGCCUACCAAUACGGCUACGGGGAGCCGGGCUGGGGGGGUGGACGGGCAAAAUUGGGCUGAGAUACGGCCCAGAAUCCUACGGGAGGGAAGAGGGGGGAAAAAUGCACAAAGGGGGAAACCCUGAAGGAGCGAAGGCGCGGGGGGGAUGAAGGGCUUCGGGUUGGAAACUCCUUUCGGUAGGGACGAAGCUUUUUGUGACGGUACCUGGAGAAGAAGCACCGGCUAACUACGUG